GACUUUGCCAGUACACUUUGAUACACACUUCAGGAAGUGUGUAUGAUUAGCCCCGCCCCUCCGCCCAUCCAGCCAAUGCGAAUCGUUCUUCUACUGCAGCAAGGCGGGUUUCUGUGCAACGUCAUCGCAGAUGUGCGCGCGCAGCCAGGGGGCCGAAAGCAGCAUUUGUCAUUUGUUUACCAGCGGAGUCAGCGGAGAACGAAAAUGACAAGGAGCUGUUGUGCUGUAAACUGCACGAAUCGGCAAAAGGAUGGAAGGAAACUGUUUAAUAUCCCGAGAGGAUCUCAUCCUUUUGCCAAGAGAAGAAGAAGAUUGUGGCUCCAGGCCAUUAAAAGGGCGGAUUGGGGUCCCGAAGGUCCUAAAGGCGGCGAGAGUCUGUGCAGCGCCCACUUCGUUUCUGGGUCACCGUCCAUGGAUUGUGAUAGUCCAGAUUUUGUUCCAUCCGUUUUUUCACACAGCAGCAACAGAGACAUCUCGGGAAAGGUGGCAAGAUAUGAAAGAAAGAGAAUAAGAGAUGAAGAUAAGGCCCCUGCUACCUGCCCCACAAGCCAGCCUGAAGCAGAUACUGUAGAUUAUUCUGAAGAUGAAUGUAAGUUUGUGUCCAGAAAAGAGAUGCACCAACUCAACCUGCAGUACAACCAGCUCCGUGAUGAUUAUGAAGCUCUGAAAAGAGAACUGUAUGCCACACAGGAAGAAAAUAAACAUCUGAAGGAGCAACUGAAGCAGUCCAAGUUUGGGUUUGAUUCCAUAAAAGACACAAAUGCUAAAAUAAUUUUUUUUACUGGUUUACAAUCAUUACAAAUGGUUAUGUGGCUGCUGGAUAUUGUAAAAAGAAGCACACUUGUGCUUAAGGGUGGGUUAAGUUGGGAGAACCACCUCCUUUUGGUUCUAAUGAAAGUAAGACUUGGACUCACCAACAGAGACCUUGCCUACAGAUUUGGGCUUCCAUUCUCAACUGUAUCAAAAAUACUAAGAGACUGGAUACCCAUGUUGUCCUCAAUAGUGAAACCUUUGAUAAUGUGGCCUAGUAAGGAUGCAGUGAGAGCAAACAUGCCAAAGUGUUUUAAACCCAAAUUUAGGAAUUGUCGAUGUAUUAUAGACUGUACUGAAAUCUUUAUAGAAAGAACACACAAUCUUAAAGCAAGGGCUGAAACCUGGUCAAAUUAUAAGCACCAAAACACAAUGAAAUAUCUAAUAGGAAUCACACCAGCAGGAGCUAUAUCUUUUUUGUCUAGUGGGUGGGGAGGUCGUGCCUCUGACAAGGUAAUAACUUUUUUCUUAAAUGCUGUUGUCCAGCAUCCAGUAUUUAUAUGCACGCAAACUGUCCUUAGUGUACACACUAGGCUUCUCAAUCAGAUAACUGUAUAUGUCGGGCCAUGAGCUGGCCAUUUGGACAUAUCUGCAAUCCAUUCCUCACUCGGAAUACUAUAUGGGUCUGGUAAUUUCUCACCAGUGCUGAGGACCAGUUUGUUCAGGUAAUCGGUGAAGUCUGAGCUGCUGAGGCUGUUGAGAUGUAAUUAGUCUGAGCCAUCUCUGUCAAGACCUAGCUAACAAGCUGUCACAAUUAAAAAAAUAUUAUAAUAUAUAGAAUAACCAAAUUUUAUUUUGUAAAAUGUUUUUGUUGCAGUUAACGUUUGUCUGGAGGAAUUUCAAAAUAAAACAAAAUAUAGACUCAUACAAACGAAAUCCUGCUUAAUCAUCACCUAUGGGCUUCUACCAUACAGUAUGGCUUCUACUCAUGUGGUGGUAACUCUGAGUGCAUGUUUGGUGACUUCUUCAGCCAAUGACAGCGUAGGAGAAGUUAGGGUCCCCCACAUGGGUGACUUUUGCUUCAGUUUCUGACGCAAAAGGGUACCCUUGCGCUGCCUUUUUAGACGCAUGGGGUUUUCAACUAGUUACAAUGUAACCCUUUGACGGGGGACCCGA
Gadus chalcogrammus (walleye pollock) is the source of this 1926-nucleotide RNA transcript. RefSeq lists it as uncharacterized. The transcript is spliced from 5 exons. The record is from RefSeq and is a predicted model, not a curated record. Lineage: Eukaryota; Metazoa; Chordata; Actinopteri; Gadiformes; Gadidae.